GACAUCCCUCAUGGCUUGAGUAUGGGGUACAGAUGUUCAAACCACUUUAUGAAAUGUCCGGUUUAAUGCCAUCGGUUGGUAAACUCCGCUGGUCAGCCUGACAGGAGCCUGGUGGUGAAUCGUUGCAUUUAUUUCGGCUUUUGUUGAAGAGUGAUCCGAGCCUGUGCAACACGAGCAGUACCUCGUCCGUACGUGUAGGAAGAGGUAUAUGCUGUGAUUAGUUACACAGGGAAAUCAAAGGCGUAAGGGCAUGUCGCGUGUCGCGUGUCGUGCGUGUGACUUUUUGACCGCCAGGAACGACAAGCUUUAAUUUCCAGGAAAUGGGUCAACCAUCAUACAUAAUGUGUAUAUAUGUGUUGUGUUAACGAGAAGUUCUGGAUAAAAUUUUGUUCUGAUACCGCUGCUUCUUGUACUUCUGAGGUCGGAGUUGCAAAAUGAAGACUCGCCUGUUGCUUCCUGAGUCCUUCGUCUUAUGGACGCACAACCCCUUAUCAAUGCAUAUUUCCGUCCCCACCCAUUCUCAGCUUGGACCAAACUUGUAUAUCUUUGCCAACUGGAGCAAUAAAGUGAGAUAGAUAUGGUAAUCUUCAGUUGUUGUUUUCCGACAACCUGCGGUCCUUGUGGCACAGUUUUCUCAAUGUUAUUCCUUUUUUACUUCUACGUCCACGAUCACAUCGUUUCGUGACUGGAGACGUCGUCUGAAAUGACGGAUUUAAUAUGACUAAUAGCGCC
RNAcentral lists this small RNA (732 nucleotides) under Histoplasma capsulatum. RNAcentral's name for it is "hypothetical RNA". The record is from RNAcentral. Lineage: Eukaryota; Fungi; Ascomycota; Eurotiomycetes; Onygenales; Ajellomycetaceae. RNAcentral also lists the same sequence under 1 other name.